AACCCAUCCAACUGUGACCAGAAUACAGUAAUUAUAGAAGAGAAAAUAUGUCAUCAGAACGUAUCCCAUCCAUUAAGCUGCUGGAGUUACAGUCAACAGUGAACUCUAAGGAAAAUCAGAAUCCAGUAAACUUACAAGGAAUGGAGCUCAGUGACCUGCAACACAUGUCUUACAUGCUGUAACAACUUAACAGAGAUAGUGAUAGUGAAAUGGGCAAUUCAGUGAAAGUGAAAAGCAUUAGUUUAGGCACUCUUUUAUUGUAUUUUGCUAAUUGUUGUGUUUUUUAUAAAAAUAAGAUUAUUAAUAUGUUGCAGUGGCGAAAUAAUCAGAAUUUGCAUGUGCAAUCCCCUGAUAAUUUCGCUCUUAAGGAGGGAGGAGUUAUAUAAUCCCGUGUGUCACCACCAUAGGAUAAUUAUAUUUUAUAUAAACAAAAGCCAUUGCAACAUAGUAGUACAAAGAUCCUUUAUAUUUCAAUAGCCUAAGUGCUGUUACAUGAUUUACGAACCACUCUUACAUGAUUUACGAACCACUCUUAGUUCUUACUAAGUAACGUUUCCUUGUAGAGCGUGAGAACAAUGUGUCAGCACAACGGUCACGUAGGCCUUUAAGAAUAGGAUAUAAAUAUAAUAGAAUACUUGUAAUAUUUAGUAUUAAACGGACCUCAAAUCGGA
Pieris napi is the source of this 671-nucleotide long non-coding RNA. RefSeq lists it as uncharacterized. The record is from RefSeq and is a predicted model, not a curated record. The transcript has 2 exons. Lineage: Eukaryota; Metazoa; Arthropoda; Insecta; Lepidoptera; Pieridae.